Oncorhynchus tshawytscha (Chinook salmon) is the source of this 270-nucleotide long non-coding RNA. NCBI's taxonomy places the organism in Eukaryota, Metazoa, Chordata, Actinopteri, Salmoniformes, Salmonidae. The record is from Ensembl.
UGGUAGGUGUCGUAGAAGGUAGUAGAGUUGUCAGAAGGUAGUAGAGGUGUCAAAGGUAGUAGAGGUGUCGUAGAAGGUGGUAAAGGUGUCGUAGAAGGUGGUAGAGGUGUCGUAGAAGGUGGUAGAGGUGUCGUAGAAGGUUGUAGAGGUGUCGUAGAAGGUGGUAGAGGUGUCGUAGAAGGUGUCAUAGAGGUGUCAGAAGGUGGUAGGUGUCGUAGAAGGUAGUAGAGUUGUCAGAAGGUUGUAGAGGUGUCAAAGGUUGUAGAGGUG